AGUUUGAUCCUGGCUCAGAAUCACGCUGGCGGCGUGCCUCAGACAUGCAAGUCGAACGAUUAAAGCUCUCUUCGGAGAGUGUAUAGAGUGGCGCACGGGUGAGUAACACGUAAGUAAUCUACCCUCGAGUGGGGAAUAACAACCGGAAACGGUUGCUAAUACCGCAUAAUGCAGCGGCACCGCAAGGUGACAGUUGUUAAAGAUUUAUCGCUUGAGGAGGAGCUUGCGGCAGAUUAGCUAGUUGGUAGGGUAACGGCUUACCAAGGCUACGAUCUGUAACCGGUCUAAGAGGACGGUCGGUCACACUGACACUGAAUAACGGGUCAGACUCCUACGGGAGGCAGCAGUCGGGAAUUUUGGGCAAUGGGCGAAAGCCUGACCCAGCAACGCCGCGUGAAGGAUGAAGUAUUUCGGUAUGUAAACUUCGAAAGAAUAGGAAGAAUUAAUGACGGUACUAUUUAUAAGGUCCGGCUAACUACGUG
RNAcentral lists this ribosomal RNA (482 nucleotides) under uncultured bacterium. RNAcentral describes it as "bacterial SSU rRNA". It matches the Rfam family "Bacterial small subunit ribosomal RNA", at positions 10 to 507 of the family's 1533-position model. The record is from RNAcentral.